GACGAACGCUGGCGGCGCGCUUAACACAUGCAAGUCGAGCGAGAACCGGGCCUUCGGGCCUGGGGAAAGCGGCGAACGGGUGAGUAACACGUGGGCAACCCACCCUUGGUAUCCGGAUAGCCCGAGGAAACUCGGAUUAAUACGGAAUGGCCCAACAGCUCUUCGGGGCGGUUGGAAAGGUAAGCUUCGGCCUCCGACCAAGGACGGGCCCGCGGUGGAUUAGCUUGUUGGUGGGGUAAGUGGCCUACCAAGGCGACGAUCCAUAGCUGGUCUGAGAGGACGAUCAGCCACACUGGGACUGAGACACGGCCCAGACUCCUACGGGAGGCAGCAGUGGGGAAUCUU
RNAcentral lists this ribosomal RNA (345 nucleotides) under uncultured bacterium. RNAcentral's name for it is "bacterial SSU rRNA". It matches the Rfam family "Bacterial small subunit ribosomal RNA", at positions 28 to 365 of the family's 1533-position model. The record is from RNAcentral.